RNAcentral lists this ribosomal RNA (422 nucleotides) under uncultured microorganism. RNAcentral's name for it is "bacterial SSU rRNA". It matches the Rfam family "Bacterial small subunit ribosomal RNA", at positions 9 to 429 of the family's 1533-position model. The record is from RNAcentral.
GAGUUUGAUCGUGGCUCAGAUUGAACGCUGGCGGCAUGCCUUACACAUGCAAGUCGAACGGCAGCAUGAUCUAGCUUGCUAGAUUGAUGGCGAGUGGCGAACGGGUGAGUAAUACAUCGGAACGUGCCCUGUAGUGGGGGAUAACUAGUCGAAAGAUUAGCUAAUACCGCAUACGACCUGAGGGUGAAAGUGGGGGACCGCAAGGCCUCAUGCUAUAGGAGCGGCCGAUGUCUGAUUAGCUAGUUGGUGGGGUAAAGGCCCACCAAGGCGACGAUCAGUAGCUGGUCUGAGAGGACGAUCAGCCACACUGGGACUGAGACACGGCCCAGACUCCUACGGGAGGCAGCAGUGGGGAAUUUUGGACAAUGGGCGAAAGCCUGAUCCAGCAAUGCCGCGUGUGUGAAGAAGGCCUCGGUUGUAAG